GUCUAUGGCCAUACCACCCUGAACACACCUGACCUCGUCUGAUCUCAGAAGCUAAGUAGGGUUGUGCUUCGUUAGUACUUGGAUGGGAGACCACCUGGGAAUACCGGGUACUGUAGGGG
Aotus nancymaae (Ma's night monkey) is the source of this 119-nucleotide ribosomal RNA. Lineage: Eukaryota; Metazoa; Chordata; Mammalia; Primates; Aotidae. The record is from Ensembl.